RNAcentral lists this ribosomal RNA (397 nucleotides) under uncultured bacterium. RNAcentral's name for it is "partial 16S ribosomal RNA". It matches the Rfam family "Bacterial small subunit ribosomal RNA", at positions 338 to 732 of the family's 1533-position model. The record is from RNAcentral.
CCUACGGGAGGCAGCAGUGAGGAAUAUUGGUCAAUGGCCGAAAGGCUGAACCAGCCAAGCCGCGUGAAGGACGAAGGUGCCAAGCAUUGUAAACUUCUUUUGUAAAGGGACAAAAUGAGGCUCGCGAGCCUGACCGCGUGUACUUGAUGAAAAAGCAUCGGCUAACUCCGUGCCAGCAGCCGCGGUAAUGCGGAGGAUUCGAGCGUUAUCCGGAUUUAUUGGGUGUAAAGGGAGCGGAGGGGGGUGUGUAAGUCAGGUGUGAAAGCCCGGGGCCCAACCCCAGGAGUGCAGUUGAAACUGGCUGUCUUGAGAGCACGAGAGGUAGGCGGAAUUCGUAGUGUAGCGGUGAAAUGCUUAGAUAUUGCGAAGAACUCCGAUUGCGAAGGCAGCUUACUGG